RNAcentral lists this ribosomal RNA (920 nucleotides) under uncultured bacterium. RNAcentral's name for it is "bacterial SSU rRNA". It matches the Rfam family "Bacterial small subunit ribosomal RNA", at positions 33 to 958 of the family's 1533-position model. The record is from RNAcentral.
ACGCUGGCGGCGUGCUUAACACAUGCAAGUCGAACGAUGAAGCCUAGCUUGCUAGGUGGAUUAGUGGCGAACGGGUGAGUAAUACGUGAGUAACCUACCUUUAACUCUGGGAUAAGCCUGGGAAACUGGGUCUAAUACCGGAUACGACCAAUCUCCGCAUGGGGUGUUGGUGGAAAGCGUUAUGUAGUGGUUAUAGAUGGGCUCACGGCCUAUCAGCUUGUUGGUGAGGUAACGGCUCACCAAGGCGACGACGGGUAGCCGGCCUGAGAGGGUGACCGGCCACACUGGGACUGAGACACGGCCCAGACUCCUACGGGAGGCAGCAGUGGGGAAUAUUGCACAAUGGGCGCAAGCCUGAUGCAGCGACGCCGCGUGAGGGAUGACGGCCUUCGGGUUGUAAACCUCUGUUAGCAGGGAAGAAGAGAAAUUGACGGUACCUGCAGAGAAAGCGCCGGCUAACUACGUGCCAGCAGCCGCGGUAAUACGUAGGGCGCGAGCGUUGUCCGGAAUUAUUGGGCGUAAAGAGCUUGUAGGCGGUUUGUCGCGUCUGCUGUGAAAGGCCGGGGCUUAACCCCGUGUAUUGCAGUGGGUACGGGCAGACUAGAGUGCAGUAGGGGAGACUGGAACUCCUGGUGUAGCGGUGGAAUGCGCAGAUAUCAGGAAGAACACCGAUGGCGAAGGCAGGUCUCUGGGCUGUAACUGACGCUGAGAAGCGAAAGCAUGGGGAGCGAACAGGAUUAGAUACCCUGGUAGUCCAUGCCGUAAACGUUGGGCACUAGGUGUGGGGGACAUUCCACGUUUUCCGCGCCGUAGCUAACGCAUUAAGUGCCCCGCCUGGGGAGUACGGCCGCAAGGCUAAAACUCAAAGAAAUUGACGGGGGCCCGCACAAGCGGCGGAGCAUGCGGAUUAAUUCGAUGCA